RNAcentral lists this ribosomal RNA (550 nucleotides) under uncultured Glomeromycotina. RNAcentral describes it as "SSU rRNA". It matches the Rfam family "Eukaryotic small subunit ribosomal RNA", at positions 548 to 1098 of the family's 1831-position model. Lineage: Eukaryota; Fungi; Glomeromycota. The record is from RNAcentral.
UUGGAGGGCAAGUCUGGUGCCAGCAGCCGCGGUAAUUCCAGCUCCAAUAGCGUAUAUUAAAGUUGUUGCAGUUAAAAAGCUCGUAGUUGAAUUUCGGGGUCUGUCCGUCGGUCGGGCUUCACGGUCCGUACUGGUGUGAUGGGUUCCUACCUUCUGAAUAACCGGCAUGCCAUUCAGUUGGUGCGCCGGGGAAGCAGAGCUAUUACCUUGAAAAAAUUAGAGUGCUUAAAGCAGGCUAGUGCUUGAAUAGAUUAGCAUGGAAUAAUAAAAUAGGACGGCAUGGUUCUAUUUUGUUGGUUUCUAGGAUCACCGUAAUGAUUAAUAGGGAUAGUUGGGGGCAUUAGCAUUCAAUUGUCAGAGGUGAAAUUCUUGGAUUUAUUGAAGACUAACUUCUGCGAAAGCAUUUGCCAAGGAUGUUUUCAUUAAUCAAGAACGAAAGUUAGGGGAUCGAAGACGAUCAGAUACCGUCGUAGUCUUAACCAUAAACUAUGCCGACUAGGGAUCGGACGAUGUUAAUUUUUCUUGACUCGUUCGGCGCCUUACGGGAAAC